UACGUAGGGUGCGAGCGUUGUCCGGAAUUACUGGGCGUAAAGAGCUUGUAGGCGGUUUGUCGCGUCUGCCGUGAAAUUUCGGGGCUCAACCCCGAACUUGCGGUGGGUACGGGCAGACUAGAGUGUGGUAGGGGAGACUGGAAUUCCUGGUGUAGCGGUGAAAUGCGCAGAUAUCAGGAGGAACACCGGUGGCGAAGGCGGGUCUCUGGGCCGAAACUGACGCUGAGGAGCGAAAGCGUGGGGAGCGAACAGG
Molecule: ribosomal RNA, 253 nt
Filed under: uncultured bacterium
Lineage: Bacteria
Description: partial 16S ribosomal RNA
Rfam family: Bacterial small subunit ribosomal RNA
Source: RNAcentral